CCUACGGGGCGCAGCAGUGGGGAAUAUUGCGCAAUGGGCGAAAGCCUGACGCAGCGACGCCGCGUGAGGGAUGAAGGUCUUCGGAUCGUAAACCUCUGUCAGCAGGGAAGAACGGUCACUGUGCUAAUCAGCAGUGAAUUGACGGUACCUGCAAAGGAAGCACCGGCUAACUCCGUGCCAGCAGCCGCGGUAAUACGGAGGGUGCGAGCGUUAAUCGGAAUUACUGGGCGUAAAGCGCUCGUAGGCGGUAUGUCAAGUCAAGGGUGAAAUCCCCGCGCUCAACGUGGGAACUGCCUUUGAAACUGGCAAACUGGAGUGUGGGAGAGGAUAGUGGAAUGCCAGGUGUAGGAGUGAAAUGCGUAGAUAUCUGGAGGAACAUCAGUGGCGAAGGCGACUAUCUGGCACAUAACUGACGCUGAGGAGCGAAAGCGUGGGUAGCAAACAGGAUUAGAUACCCUUGUAGUC
Molecule: ribosomal RNA, 465 nt
Filed under: uncultured bacterium
Lineage: Bacteria
Description: partial 16S ribosomal RNA
Rfam family: Bacterial small subunit ribosomal RNA
Source: RNAcentral